UGGAUAGCUCAGUUGGUUAAGCAUGAGACUCUUAAUCUCAUGGUCAAAGGUUUGAGCCCCACAUUGGGCAAAA
RNAcentral lists this transfer RNA (73 nucleotides) under Podarcis lilfordi (Lilford's wall lizard). RNAcentral describes it as "tRNA.Lys". Lineage: Eukaryota; Metazoa; Chordata; Lepidosauria; Squamata; Lacertidae. The record is from RNAcentral.